This 253-nucleotide ribosomal RNA is filed under the name uncultured bacterium. Its description in RNAcentral is "partial 16S ribosomal RNA". It matches the Rfam family "Bacterial small subunit ribosomal RNA", at positions 524 to 776 of the family's 1533-position model. The record is from RNAcentral.
UACGUAGGCAGCGAGCGUUGUUCGGAGUUACUGGGCGUAAAGCGUGCGUAGGCGGUUUUGUAAGUUUGGUGUGAAAUCUCCCGGCUCAACUGGGAGGGUGCGCCGAAAACUGCAAGGCUGGAGUAUGGGAGAGGUAGGCGGAAUUCCUGGUGUAGCGGUGAAAUGCGUAGAUAUCAGGAGGAACACCUGUGGUGUAAACGGCUUACUGGACCAUGACUGACGCUGAGGCACGAAAGCGUGGGGAGCAAACAGG